UACAGAGGGGGCAAGCGUUGUUCGGAAUUACUGGGCGUAAAGGGCGCGUAGGCGGCCUUCUAAGUCGAACGUGAAAUCCCCGGGCUCAACCCGGGAAAUGCGUCCGAUACUGGAAGGCUUGAAUCCGGGAGAGGGAUGCGGAAUUCCAGGUGUAGCGGUGAAAUGCGUAGAUAUCUGGAGGAACACCGGUGGCGAAGGCGACAUCCUGGACCGGUAUUGACGCUGAGGCGCGAAAGCCAGGGGAGCAAACGGG
Molecule: ribosomal RNA, 253 nt
Filed under: uncultured bacterium
Lineage: Bacteria
Description: partial 16S ribosomal RNA
Rfam family: Bacterial small subunit ribosomal RNA
Source: RNAcentral